RNAcentral lists this non-coding RNA (45 nucleotides) under Schistosoma mattheei. The record is from RNAcentral. Lineage: Eukaryota; Metazoa; Platyhelminthes; Trematoda; Strigeidida; Schistosomatidae.
ACCCAGCUGGCGAGUCCCAAACAGGACGAAACGCGCGUUCUGGAU